This 497-nucleotide ribosomal RNA is filed under the name uncultured bacterium. Its description in RNAcentral is "partial 16S ribosomal RNA". It matches the Rfam family "Bacterial small subunit ribosomal RNA", at positions 28 to 507 of the family's 1533-position model. The record is from RNAcentral.
GAUGAACGCUGGCGGCGUGCCUAAUACAUGCAAGUCGAGCGAACGGACGAGAAGCUUGCUUCUCUGAUGUUAGCGGCGGACGGGUGAGUAACACGUGGAUAACCUACCUAUAAGACUGGGAUAACUUCGGGAAACCGGAGCUAAUACCGGAUGAUAUUUUGAACCGCAUGGUUCAAAAGUGAAAGACGGUCUUGCUGUCACUUAUAGAUGGAUCCGCGCUGCAUUAGCUAGUUGGUAAGGUAAUGGCUUACCAAGGCAACGAUGCAUAGCCGACCUGAGAGGGUGAUCGGCCACACUGGAACUGAGACACGGUCCAGACUCCUACGGGAGGCAGCAGUAGGGAAUCUUCCGCAAUGGGCGAAAGCCUGACGGAGCAACGCCGCGUGAGUGAUGAAGGUCUUCGGAUCGUAAAACUCUGUUAUUAGGGAAGAACAUAUGUGUAAAUAACUGUGCACAUCUUGACGGUACCUAAUCAGAAAGCCACGGCUAACUACGUG